RNAcentral lists this long non-coding RNA (235 nucleotides) under Elaeis guineensis (African oil palm). Its description in RNAcentral is "long non-coding RNA (EGUI_LNC005875)". Lineage: Eukaryota; Viridiplantae; Streptophyta; Magnoliopsida; Arecales; Arecaceae. The record is from RNAcentral.
GCCCAGAAAAGAUUUCCCACUGAAACACCCCCAAGCUAACAGAGUUGGAGGGGGCUGGGGCCAAGGACAGCAGAAGCUUGUACACCGUUAGUUAACCUUUCAUGGAGGAUUCGGUCAAAGAAUAUGGUUGUUUAGGCCAGAUGUAUUGCGUCGUGAAAAUAAAUAUUUAUUGUAACAAUUAUACCACUUUAAAUUUAAUAUUUUUUUUUUUACAGCCAAGAUGAGCACCAACAUC